RNAcentral lists this transfer RNA (73 nucleotides) under bacterium HR34. RNAcentral's name for it is "tRNA-Val". It matches the Rfam family "tRNA". From Rfam's summary of the family: Transfer RNA (tRNA) molecules are approximately 80 nucleotides in length. Their secondary structure includes four short double-helical elements and three loops (D, anti-codon, and T loops). The record is from RNAcentral.
GCGCGCGUAGCUCAGAGGCAGAGCGCUGCUUUCACACGGCAGAGGUCGUAGGUUCAAAUCCUACCGCGCGCAC